Molecule: long non-coding RNA, 172 nt
Filed under: Nannospalax galili (Upper Galilee mountains blind mole rat)
Lineage: Eukaryota; Metazoa; Chordata; Mammalia; Rodentia; Spalacidae
Description: HOXA11 antisense RNA 1 conserved region 6 (ENSNGAG00000006256.1)
Rfam family: HOXA11 antisense RNA 1 conserved region 6
Source: RNAcentral
UUCCUUUAAUCCUCAACCCGGAGCCCUACAGCAGCUAAAGCAAGAGGCCAAAAAUGUUUGGAGGAAGAAAAACAAAGGCAGGAAGUGGCGGCGGCCUGACGGUGCGUGUGUGUCUGUAAAGGGAGGGAGUCGGUUCAAUCUUCUGUUUUUCCGAACUUCAAGGUCCAGGCAG